RNAcentral lists this ribosomal RNA (305 nucleotides) under uncultured bacterium. Its description in RNAcentral is "bacterial SSU rRNA". It matches the Rfam family "Bacterial small subunit ribosomal RNA", at positions 337 to 639 of the family's 1533-position model. The record is from RNAcentral.
GCCUACGGGACGCAGCAGUGGGGAAUAUUGGUCAAUGGGCGGGAGCCUGAACCAGCCAAGCCGCGUGAGGGAAGAAGGUACAGCGUAUCGUAAACCUCUUUUGUCAGGGAACAAAGGCGGGGACUAGUCCCCGGAUGAGGGUACCUGAAGAAAAAGCAUCGGCUAACUCCGUGCCAGCAGCCGCGGUAAUACGGAGGAUGCGAGCGUUAUCCGGAUUUAUUGGGUGUAAAGGGAGCGCAGGCGGCACGGCAAGCCUGAUGUGAAAGCCCGCGGCCCAACCGCGGGACUUCAUUGGGAACUACCGG